CACACCUCUCCUCUCUCCCUCAACCUCGUACUUCAAAGUAUUGGUAUGGAGAUUGAGGAGGAUCAAUUCUUCAGAUCAAGUCCAAGGAGAGGAGAUCCAAGAGGAACACAUGGAUACCACUAGAGGCGGGGCAUCUACAUGGCUAGUGGAUUCAAUUUUGCACAAGGUGAUGUGAUCAUCGUUAAGUAUUUUAAUGCUUUUAUUUUUCUUCUUUGAGUCGAAUUUCUGCUUCGUGACCAAAUGGUGCAAUAGAUAUUAGAUCCUAACACCCCUUAUAUGUGAAACAUAGAGGCAGAAUUGAGAACUGCGACAGCUACAGUGUGGGGGCAAGUGCAACAUCAAGGAUGGUGGUGG
This 354-nucleotide long non-coding RNA is filed under the name Spirodela polyrhiza (greater duckweed). Its description in RNAcentral is "long non-coding RNA (SPOL_LNC001698)". Lineage: Eukaryota; Viridiplantae; Streptophyta; Magnoliopsida; Alismatales; Araceae. The record is from RNAcentral.